RNAcentral lists this ribosomal RNA (1414 nucleotides) under Atlanticothrix silvestris CENA357. RNAcentral describes it as "bacterial SSU rRNA". It matches the Rfam family "Bacterial small subunit ribosomal RNA". Lineage: Bacteria; Bacillati; Cyanobacteriota; Cyanophyceae; Nostocales; Nodulariaceae. The record is from RNAcentral. RNAcentral also lists the same sequence under 1 other name.
GAUGAACGCUGGCGGUAUGCUUAACACAUGCAAGUCGAACGGGCUCUUCGGAGCUAGUGGCGGACGGGUGAGUAACGCGUGAGAAUCUGGCUUCAGGUCGGGGACAACCACUGGAAACGGUGGCUAAUACCGGAUGUGCCGCAAGGUAAAAGGCUUGCCGCCUGAAGAUGAGCUCGCGUCUGAUUAGCUAGUAGGUGGGGUAAAAGCCUACCUAGGCGACGAUCAGUAGCUGGUCUGAGAGGAUGAUCAGCCACACUGGGACUGAGACACGGCCCAGACUCCUACGGGAGGCAGCAGUGGGGAAUUUUCCGCAAUGGGCGAAAGCCUGACGGAGCAAUACCGCGUGAGGGAGGAAGGCUCUUGGGUUGUAAACCUCUUUUCUCAGGGAAGAACACAAUGACGGUACCUGAGGAAUAAGCAUCGGCUAACUCCGUGCCAGCAGCCGCGGUAAUACGGAGGAUGCAAGCGUUAUCCGGAAUGAUUGGGCGUAAAGCGUCCGCAGGUGGCUAUGUAAGUCUGCUGUUAAAGAGUGAGGCUCAACCUCAUAAGAGCAGUGGAAACUACAUGGCUAGAGUGCGUUCGGGGUAGAGGGAAUUCCUGGUGUAGCGGUGAAAUGCGUAGAUAUCAGGAAGAACACCGGUGGCGAAAGCGCUCUGCUAGGCCGCAACUGACACUGAGGGACGAAAGCUAGGGGAGCGAAUGGGAUUAGAUACCCCAGUAGUCCUAGCCGUAAACGAUGGAUACUAGGCGUGGCUUGUAUCGACCCGAGCCGUGCCGUAGCUAACGCGUUAAGUAUCCCGCCUGGGGAGUACGCACGCAAGUGUGAAACUCAAAGGAAUUGACGGGGGCCCGCACAAGCGGUGGAGUAUGUGGUUUAAUUCGAUGCAACGCGAAGAACCUUACCAAGACUUGACAUGUCGCGAAUUCCUCUGAAAGGAGGAAGUGCCUUCGGGAGCGCGAACACAGGUGGUGCAUGGCUGUCGUCAGCUCGUGUCGUAAGAUGUUGGGUUAAGUCCCGCAACGAGCGCAACCCUCGUUUUUAGUUGCCAGCACUUCGGGUGGGCACUCUAGAGAGACUGCCGGUGACAAACCGGAGGAAGGUGGGGAUGACGUCAAGUCAGCAUGCCCCUUACGUCUUGGGCUACACACGUACUACAAUGCUACGGACAAAGGGCAGCAAGCUAGCGAUAGCAAGCAAAUCUCAUAAACCGUAGCUCAGUUCAGAUCGCAGGCUGCAACUCGCCUGCGUGAAGGAGGAAUCGCUAGUAAUUGCAGGUCAGCAUACUGCAGUGAAUUCGUUCCCGGGCCUUGUACACACCGCCCGUCACACCAUGGAAGCUGGUCACGCCCGAAGUCAUUACUCCAACUUUUCGGAGAGGAGGAUGCCUAAGGCAGGACUGGUGACUGGGGUGAA